UAUCAUUCACACUACUAAGUAUAUUCGAUUUAAUCGUGUAUCUAUUAGAUUCGUGAAACGUCAGUCGAUAUCAUUCACCGUUUGACAUUUUCUUAUCAAUACUAGAUUUUAACCCGCGGUAUACCGCAAGACGAUUUAUUUUUUAAAAGUAAUAUAUAUUAAAACUUGCUA
RNAcentral lists this small RNA (171 nucleotides) under Arabidopsis thaliana (thale cress). RNAcentral's name for it is "ATSL053620". The record is from RNAcentral. Lineage: Eukaryota; Viridiplantae; Streptophyta; Magnoliopsida; Brassicales; Brassicaceae.